This 72-nucleotide transfer RNA is filed under the name Acromyrmex echinatior (Panamanian leafcutter ant). RNAcentral describes it as "tRNA-Gln". It matches the Rfam family "tRNA". From Rfam's summary of the family: Transfer RNA (tRNA) molecules are approximately 80 nucleotides in length. Their secondary structure includes four short double-helical elements and three loops (D, anti-codon, and T loops). Lineage: Eukaryota; Metazoa; Arthropoda; Insecta; Hymenoptera; Formicidae. The record is from Rfam by way of RNAcentral.
GGUUCCGUAGUGUAAUGGUCAGCACUCUGGACUCUGAAUCCAGCGAUCCGAGUUCAAAUCUCGGCGGAACCU